Molecule: ribosomal RNA, 726 nt
Filed under: Lactobacillus sp. oral taxon 461
Lineage: Bacteria; Bacillati; Bacillota; Bacilli; Lactobacillales; Lactobacillaceae
Description: bacterial SSU rRNA
Rfam family: Bacterial small subunit ribosomal RNA
Source: RNAcentral
AGUCUGAUGGAGCAACGCCGCGUGAGUGAAGAAGGUUUUCGGAUCGUAAAGCUCUGUUGUUGGUGAAGAAGGAUAGAGGUAGUAACUGGCCUUUAUUUGACGGUAAUCAACCAGAAAGUCACGGCUAACUACGUGCCAGCAGCCGCGGUAAUACGUAGGUGGCAAGCGUUGUCCGGAUUUAUUGGGCGUAAAGCGAGCGCAGGCGGAAAAAUAAGUCUAAUGUGAAAGCCCUCGGCUUAACCGAGGAAUUGCAUCGGAAACUGUUUUUCUUGAGUGCAGAAGAGGAGAGUGGAACUCCAUGUGUAGCGGUGGAAUGCGUAGAUAUAUGGAAGAACACCAGUGGCGAAGGCGGCUCUCUGGUCUGCAACUGACGCUGAGGCUCGAAAGCAUGGGUAGCGAACAGGAUUAGAUACCCUGGUAGUCCAUGCCGUAAACGAUGAGUGCUAAGUGUUGGGAGGUUUCCGCCUCUCAGUGCUGCAGCUAACGCAUUAAGCACUCCGCCUGGGGAGUACGACCGCAAGGUUGAAACUCAAAGGAAUUGACGGGGGCCCGCACAAGCGGUGGAGCAUGUGGUUUAAUUCUAAGCAACGCGAAGAACCUUACCAGGUCUUGACAUCUAGCGCCAAUCGUAGAGAUACGAUGUUCCCUUCGGGGACGCUAAGACAGGUGGUGCAUGGCUGUCGUCAGCUCGUGUCGUGAGAUGUUGGGGUUAAGUUCCGCAACGAG